AUAUUGCACAAUGGCGGAAGCCUGAUGCAGGGACGCCGCGUGAGGGAUGACGGCCUUCGGGUUGUAACCUCUUUCAGCACGGAAGAAGCGAAAGUGACGGUACGUGCAGAAGAAGCGCCGGCUAACUACGUGCCAGCAGCCGCGGUAAUACGUAGGGCGCAAGCGUUGUCCGGAAUUAUUGGGCGUAAAGAGCUCGUAGGCGGUUUGUCGCGUCUGCUGUGAAAGCCCGGGGCUUAACCCCGGGUGUGCAGUGGGUACGGGCAGACUUGAGUGCAGUAGGGGAGACUGGAAUUCCUGGUGUAGCGGUGAAAUGCGCAGAUAUCAGGAGGAACACCGAUGGCGAAGGCAGGUCUCUGGGCUGUUACUGACGCUGAGGAGCGAAAGCAUGGGGAGCGAACAGGAUUAGAUACCCUGGUAGUCCAUGCCGUAAACGUUGGGCACUAGGUGUGGGGAACAUUCCACGUUUUCCGCGCCGUAGCUAACGCAUUAAGUGCCCCGCCUGGGGAGUACGGCCGCAAGGCUAAAACUCAAAGGAAUUGACGGGGGCCCGCACAAGCGGCGGAGCAUGCGGAUUAAUUCGAUGCAACGCGAAGAACCUUACCAAGGCUUGACAUACACCGGACCGGGCCAGAGAUGGUCUUUCCCCCUUGUGGGGCUGGUGUACAGGUGGUGCAUGGUUGUCGUCAGCUCGUGUCGUGAGAUGUUGGGUUAAGUCCCGCAACGAGCGCAACCCUCGUUCUAUGUUGCCAGCACGUGAUGGUGGGGACUCAUAGGAGACUGCCGGGGUCAACUCGGAGGAAGGUGGGGAUGACGUCAAAUCAUCAUGCCCCUUAUGUCUUGGGCUUCACGCAUGCUACAAUGGCCAGUACAAUGGGUUGCGAUGCCGCGAGGUGGAGCUAAUCCCAAAAAGCUGGUCUCAGUUCGGAUCGUGGUCUGCAACUCGACCACGUGAAGUCGGAGUCGCUAGUAAUCGCAGAUCAGCAACGCUGCGGUGAAUACGUUCCCGGGCCUUGUACACACCGCCCGUCAAGUCACGAAAGUUGGUAACACCCGAAGCCGGUGGCCUAACCCUUGUGGGGA
RNAcentral lists this ribosomal RNA (1080 nucleotides) under Kocuria sp. RNAcentral's name for it is "bacterial SSU rRNA". It matches the Rfam family "Bacterial small subunit ribosomal RNA", at positions 361 to 1448 of the family's 1533-position model. Lineage: Bacteria; Bacillati; Actinomycetota; Actinomycetes; Micrococcales; Micrococcaceae. The record is from RNAcentral.